This 1367-nucleotide ribosomal RNA is filed under the name metagenome. RNAcentral's name for it is "SSU rRNA". It matches the Rfam family "Eukaryotic small subunit ribosomal RNA", at positions 1 to 1426 of the family's 1831-position model. The record is from RNAcentral.
UCUGGUUGAUCCUGCCAGUAGUCAUAUGCUUGUCUCAAAGAUUAAGCCAUGCAUGUCUAAGUAUAAAUAGUAUACAGUGAAACUGCGAAUGGCUCAUUAAAACAGUUAUAGUUUAUUUGAUAAUUGACAAUUACAUGGAUAACCGUGGUAAUUCUAGAGCUAAUACAUGCUUAAACGCCCGACUUUAUGGGAGGGUGGUAUUUAUUAGACUGAAGCCAAUAUUCCUUGUGUCUAUUGCGGUGAUUCAUAAUAACUGAUCGAAUCUCUUUUUGAGAUAAAUCAUUCAAGUUUCUGCCCUAUCAGCUUUCGAUGGUAGUGUAUUGGACUACCAUGGCAGUAACGGGCAACGAAGAAUUAGGGUUCGAUUUCGGAGAGGGAGCAUGAGAAACGGCUACCACAUCUAAGGAAGGCAGCAGGCGCGUAAAUUACCCAAUCCUGACUCAGGGAGGUAGUGACAAGAAAUAGCAAACCGGGAACCUCAUGGUUUCACGGUAUUGCAAUGAGAACAAUUUAAAACCCUUAGCGAGAAUCAAGUGGAGGACAAGUCUGGUGCCAGCACCCGCGGUAAUUCCAGCUCCACUAGCGUAUAUUAAAGUUGUUGCAGUUAAAAAGCUCGUAGUUGAACCUCUGUCUGGGGCUAGUUUUGGCUUUGGUCAGGCUAGUUCUAGGCAUCCGCCUACAAGACUUAGAGGGCAUUCAGUUGUUCACUAGGAGGAGUAGGCAUUUUACUUUGAAAAAAUUAGAGUGUUUAAGGCAGGCAAUCGCCCGCAUAUAUUAGCAUGGAAUAAUAGAAUAGGACACUUUUCCAUUUCGUUGGUUAUUGGAAUCGUGUAAUGAUUAAUAGGGACAGUUGUGGGCAUUUGUAUUUAAUUGUCAGAGGUGAAAUUCUUGGAUUUAUUAAAGACAAACUAACGCGAAAGCAUUUGCCAAGGAUGUUUUCAUUAAUCAAGAACGAAAGUUAGGGGAUCAAAGACGAUCAGAUACCGUCCUAGUCUUAACUAUAAACUAUUCCGACUCAAUGUUUGACUGGCUUAUAUAACCAGUUGAGCGUUGUAUGAGAAAUCAAAGUCUUUAGGUUCUGGGGGGAGUAUGGUUGCAAAGCUGAAACUUAAAGGAAUUGACGGAAGAGCACAACCAGGAGUGGAUUCUACGGCUUAAUUUGACUCAACACGGGGACACUUACCAGGUUAAAACAAUAGUGGGAUUGACAGUUUGAGAGCGCUUUCUUGAUUGGUUGGGUGGUGGUGCAUGGCCGUUCUUAGUUGGUGGAGUGAUUUGUCUGCUUAAUUGCGUUAACGAACGAGACCUUAACCUGCUUACUAGACUGGCGAUCAUCAAUCGUUAGCUCUUCUUAGAGGGACUUUGGU